AAAAGAUGGCCAUCGGAGAUUAUCCAGCGGAGUACAAUCCCAAAAUCCACGGACCAUACGAUCCGGCCCGCUUUUACGGUAAACCCGAUACUCCAUUCGGA
Molecule: long non-coding RNA, 101 nt
Organism: Anopheles darlingi
Lineage: Eukaryota; Metazoa; Arthropoda; Insecta; Diptera; Culicidae
Rfam family: Sphinx_ conserved region 1
Source: Rfam